CCUACGGGUGGCAGCAGUGAGGAAUAUUGGUCAAUGGGCGGAAGCCUGAACCAGCCAAGUAGCGUGCAGGAUGACGGCCCUACGGGUUGUAAACUGCUUUUAUACGGGAAUAACGCGCCUUACGUGUAGGGCUUUGCAUGUACCGUAUGAAUAAGGACCGGCUAAUUCCGUGCCAGCAGCCGCGGUAAUACGGAAGGUCCGGGCGUUAUCCGGAUUUAUUGGGUUUAAAGGGUGCGCAGGCGGAGGUGCAAGUCAGCGGUCAAAUUGCGGGGCUCAACCCCGUACUGCCGUUGAAACUGCAUCCCUUGAGUGCGCGAGAAGUAUGCGGAAUGCGUGGUGUAGCGGUGAAAUGCAUAGAUAUCACGCAGAACUCCGAUUGCGAAGGCAGCAUACCGGCGCGCAACUGACGCUCAUGCACGAAAGCGUGGGUAUCGAACAGGAUUAGAUACCCGGGUAGUC
Molecule: ribosomal RNA, 459 nt
Filed under: uncultured bacterium
Lineage: Bacteria
Description: partial 16S ribosomal RNA
Rfam family: Bacterial small subunit ribosomal RNA
Source: RNAcentral